Molecule: ribosomal RNA, 208 nt
Filed under: uncultured bacterium
Lineage: Bacteria
Description: partial 16S ribosomal RNA
Rfam family: Bacterial small subunit ribosomal RNA
Source: RNAcentral
UGCGUAGGCGGCCUGGUAAGUCUGGCGUGAAAGCCCAGGGCUCAGCCCUGGAAGUGCGCUAGAAACUGCGAGGCUGGAGUGCCGGAGGGGAGAGUGGAAUUCCUGGUGUAGCGGUGAAAUGCGUAGAUAUCAGGAGGAAUACCGGUGGCGAAAGCGACUCUCUGGACGGCAACUGACGCUGAGGCACGAAAGCGUGGGGGAGCAAACA